GCCUGUCGUCAAGGUCGUGUCGUGAGAUGUUGGGUUAAGUCCCGCAACGAGCGCAGCCCUGGUCCUGUGGGGCAGCUAAUAGGCACUCUCAGGAGGGCGCCAGCGAUAAGCUGGAGGAAGGUGGGGAUGACGUCAAGUCAUCAUGGCCUUUAUGUCCAGGGCUACACACGUGCGACAAUGGACGGUACAGACCGCUGCAAACACGCGAGGGGGAGCAAAUCGGAAAAAACCGUUCUCAGUUCGGAUUGCAGGCUGCAACUCGCCUGCAUGAAGCUGGAAUCGCUAGUAAUGGCAUAUCAGAACGAUGCCGUGAAUACGUUCCCGGGCCUUGUACACACCGCCCGUCACAUCACGAAAGUGGAUUGUACUAGAAGUCUGCGCGCCAACCCGCAAGGGAGGCAGCGGCCCAAGGUAUGAUUCAUGAUUGGGGUGAAGUCGUAACAAGGUAGCCGUAGGAGAACCUGCGGCUGGAUCACCUCC
Molecule: ribosomal RNA, 480 nt
Filed under: uncultured bacterium
Lineage: Bacteria
Description: bacterial SSU rRNA
Rfam family: Bacterial small subunit ribosomal RNA
Source: RNAcentral